RNAcentral lists this long non-coding RNA (1363 nucleotides) under Homo sapiens (human). RNAcentral's name for it is "long independently transcribed non-coding RNA 1912 (LINC01912)". Lineage: Eukaryota; Metazoa; Chordata; Mammalia; Primates; Hominidae. The record is from RNAcentral.
AUAUGAAUGGGAGGUCGAUUUUCACUAAAUUUACUCACGAUUUAUUCAGAGUAAUAGGAAAAAUGUCAAAUAUAAGUGUAUCAAUAUUGAGUGUAAUUUUGGUACACUUAUACAUUUUUCCUAGUACUAUUUCCAUAAGUGAUAGAAAAAAUGUCAAAUAUAAGUGUAUCAAUUUGAGUGUAAGAGCUUGUGAGAUCUUCAAUUUUUCGAUUUUUAUGCGAUAGGACUAUUUGGAAAAGAUUUUGGUGGCUGGGACUGUAGUUGUUUUGACAUUAAUGGUGAUGAGGUAUAAGAUACAGGCAUCAAAGUGACAGUUAAGGAGGACUGUUUCCUAUUUCCUCAGUUUAAUCUUCUCAGGUGAGUUUGAAGGUGCCAAAUAACAUAGAUUCCAGGAUUUGGAAAGGCCACACAGGUGUACAGUGAAAUAAUGAAGGAUUUAAAAGUUGUGUUGGAGAGAAAUAGAGUGAGCACAGACAUAAGAUUUCAAGGAAUAAGGAGGAGUAAACCACAGUCAGUGCUACUGGCAACAAGAAAAGAUUGACUCAUGAUAUGAAAGUCCAAGCUGAAGGCGGAGAGGGAAGGCUCUAGAAAAAGCAAUGCAGAACGAAGAAGUCACAUCCGUCACUUUCAAGCCUAGGUGUAUGAGGUGUGGGGGAGGAAAGCACAGGCAUCCCUGAGAAGCCUGUUGGAGAAUCAGCAUCCUCAGGGGAGAUUCGAGUUUCAAUCGGAGCAAGAAGCAUCCCAGAGGCACUUUAACCAAACCCUGGAGAGAGAAGAAAUAAGUAUAUUACUGUGUCGUCUUUGCACAGCAAGAACUUAGCAUCAUCCUCUUGUAUUUUGGAUUUUGUUUCCUAUUUCCUCAGUUUAAUCUUCUCAGCCAUAGGUCAUAAAGAUGGCGAUGGUUAUUUCCUUCCUCAUACCCAUGGUUUGUUACAAUGUGACUUUGCGGUUCUUCCCAUCAGUAAACAGAAGCCAUUUUCUUACUCCUUGCCUCUGGAUGGGCCUUGUGGCUUGCUUUGAGCAAUAGAACGCAUCAGAAGGUGACCUCAUGCCAGUUUCAUGCCUUGGCUUCAGGAGGCCUUGAAUUCUCUGCUGCUCCUUAGGAAUCUUCUGAGCCACUGCUUAACAAGCUCCAACCUCUCCAGCUGGAAGAUGAGGCAUAAUACAGAGGAGAGGCAAACUGUCCUAAAGAGACUACCCUAAGCCAACCAGUCCAGAUGACAGGAGGUUGACCUUGACACAUGUGUAAGCCCAGCCAAGGUCAGCCAAACCUAGUACAGAUCAGAAAAACCAUCUAUCAAUGCUCAGCCCAAAUUUCCAACCCACAGAAAUAUGAAUUAAAUAAAUGAUUGUUGUUUAAACC